CCCUUAGAUGUUCUGGGCCGCACGCGCGCUACACUGACUACUUCAACGAGUUGUUUCCUUGAUCGAAAGGUCUGGGUAAUCUUUGAAAGGUAGUCGUGAUGGGGAUAGAUCCUUGCAAUUUUUGAUCUUCAACGAGGAAUUCCUAGUAAACGCAAGUCAUCAGCUUGCAUUGAUUACGUCCCUGCCCUUUGUACACACCGCCCGUCGCACCUACCGAUUGAAUGGUCCGGUGAAUCUUUAGGACUGUGGCUGAGGCCCUGCCUUGUGCGGGUCUGGCCGUGGGAAUUUAGUUAAACCUUACCAUUUAGAGGAAGGUGAAGUCGUAACA
This 328-nucleotide ribosomal RNA is filed under the name uncultured eukaryote. RNAcentral describes it as "partial 18S ribosomal RNA". It matches the Rfam family "Eukaryotic small subunit ribosomal RNA", at positions 1470 to 1796 of the family's 1831-position model. The record is from RNAcentral.